AGCGGAGGAAAAGAAACUAACAAGGAUUCCCCUAGUAACGGCGAGUGAAGCGGGAUGAGCUCAAAUUUGUAAUCUGGUGGACUCAGUUCAUCCGAGUUGUAAUCUAUAGAAAAGUUUUCCGCGCCGGACCGUGUCUAAGUCCCUUGGAACAGGGUGUCAGAGAGGGUGAGAAUCCCGUGCUUGAUACGACCACCGGUGCUAUGUGAUACUUUUUCAACGAGUCGAGUUGUUUGGGAAUGCAGCUCAAAAUGGGUGGUAAAUUCCAUCUAAAGCUAAAUAUUGGCGAGAGACCGAUAGCGAACAAGUACCGUGAGGGAAAGAUGAAAAGCACUUUGGAAAGAGAGUUAAACAGUACGUGAAAUUGUUAAAAGGGAAACGAUUGAAGUCAGUCGUGCUCUCUGGGACUCAGCCGGUUCUUCCGGUGUAUUUCCCAGUGAGCGGGUCAACAUCAGUUUAGAUCGCUGGAUAAGGUCAUUAGGAAUGUGGCUCCCUCGGGAGUGUUAUAGCCUAGUGUCGCAUACAGUGGUUUAGACUGAGGAACGCAGCUCGCCUUUAUGGCCGGGGUUCGCCCACGUCCGAGCUUAGGAUGUUGACAUAAUGGCUUUAAACGACCCGU
Molecule: ribosomal RNA, 616 nt
Filed under: Cryptococcus sp. RT9-11
Lineage: Eukaryota; Fungi; Basidiomycota; Tremellomycetes; Tremellales; Cryptococcaceae
Description: eukaryotic LSU rRNA
Rfam family: Eukaryotic large subunit ribosomal RNA
Source: RNAcentral